Molecule: long non-coding RNA, 430 nt
Filed under: Nicotiana benthamiana
Lineage: Eukaryota; Viridiplantae; Streptophyta; Magnoliopsida; Solanales; Solanaceae
Description: long non-coding RNA (NBEN_LNC036707)
Source: RNAcentral
CCCAGAUCCUAAGAUUUUAAAUGAAAAUAAUCUUAUGGUCUCUGAGUACUUUAAUAUACCAGGCACUAAUCUGGACUCUCAAAGCUCAGAUAGCUUUGUCUCUUCUGAUACUGAAAAUCAGCUCAGUUCAGAUGUAUAUGAAAUCAGGAAUUAGCUAGUGGUCACAAAACCAAAUUUUUGCAAACUGACUUCUUUUCCUUUUAAAUUCUCUAAUGAGAUUAAUUUGAUAUGUUGUUCUUUUUUAAUAGCUUGUCAGAUGUAGAUGUCCAUAUGGAAAAUUUUCCAAGUGGAGUUGCUAAUUUCCACCGAUAUCCUAAGCGCGAAUUCCCUCCUACCAGCGUAUCAACCAUCGACUCUCCAUCCACUUUGCACCCUGCAACCUCUCAGUCCUCUGAUACCCAAGGGGCUUCAAAAUCUCCUGGGGAAGAAU